RNAcentral lists this transfer RNA (72 nucleotides) under Pennahia aneus (bigeye croaker). RNAcentral describes it as "tRNA-Val". It matches the Rfam family "tRNA". Rfam says of the family: Transfer RNA (tRNA) molecules are approximately 80 nucleotides in length. Their secondary structure includes four short double-helical elements and three loops (D, anti-codon, and T loops). Lineage: Eukaryota; Metazoa; Chordata; Actinopteri; Sciaenidae. The record is from RNAcentral.
CAGGACAUAGUUAAAAGAUUAAAACAGUUCCCUCACACCGAUCAAUUAUCCGUUAAAGUCGGAUUGUCCUGA